RNAcentral lists this unclassified non-coding RNA (90 nucleotides) under Pseudomonas mediterranea. The record is from RNAcentral. Lineage: Bacteria; Pseudomonadati; Pseudomonadota; Gammaproteobacteria; Pseudomonadales; Pseudomonadaceae.
UGUGGGAGCGAGCCUGCUCGCGAUGACGUCGGCACAUUCGACACAUGCAUCGGCCGACAGAUCGCUAUCGCGAGCAGGCUCGCUCCCACA